This 740-nucleotide long non-coding RNA is filed under the name Ananas comosus (pineapple). Its description in RNAcentral is "long non-coding RNA (ACOM_LNC015034)". The record is from RNAcentral. Lineage: Eukaryota; Viridiplantae; Streptophyta; Magnoliopsida; Poales; Bromeliaceae.
CCUCACCACGUUUUGUGCGCUCCUUCCUGCCCGAUUUUUUUCCUUUUCCCUCUCUCGAUAUCUACCUCUCUGCACUGUCUUUGUAUCUCUCUCUAUCCUCUCUCCUAAUACCUUCAUUUUCCCUCGCUCUUUUUCCUCUUAUCUUACCUCCCUCUCUCUCUUUUCCCUCACCCGAUACCUCCAUCUUUCUCUCCCCCGAAGCCUCUUCUCUUGAGCAUCCCCUUCUCUCUUUCCCCAAUCUCGAUACCUCUAUCCCUCUCUCUUUCUGUCACUCCCCGGAUUAUACGUUCCCCCGGGCACGCCAACAGAUCCGCCGUAUAUAUAGAAAUUUUUUCUGUAUACGAAGCGAUAGCUGUAACUGUAAAUAAAUCAAGCUACAACCACAAGGUAAUGAGCUGCUAAACUGAAAAACAUAUAUAUAUAUAUAUAUAUAAACCUCGAGUAGUUCAAGUACAUAUAAAAAGUCUACAACAUCACUCGCUCCAGCGAGUACCCAGACAACAACCAUAUGUACAAAAAUAUCCCAAAACUACCUGUGGAAGGUACUCCUCUAGCACUGCAACCCGUCGGGAAGGGAUCUAGCUCGCAACUCCUUUCCACGAUCAGAUCAGGAACAACAGCAGCCGCAGAAGAAGGCUCUGCAAAAAGGGGUCAAUAACUGGGUAUGAGAAUUACUGCAAAAAGAAGUAGUCCUCAGUAGAUACCGCUACCGAUCUCAACGGCUCACCCAUUAAGUCUAC